GAAACCCCUCCCUCUCGUCCUCCCUCGCCUCCUUCCGCGCGGAGGGACGGACGGUGGGAUGGGGAGAGAAGUUUGCCUGCGGCGCGCUCCGCUCAACAUUAAACUGUAUUUCAUUUUAGGGGGGAACAGCAACAAGAGGAGCCCUGCGGAGAAGCUUUCCAGGGAAUGCUGAGGGAAUAUCCGAGAGCUGAGUCACACCCGCCGCUCACAGCUGACCCCCUUUAUUGGCUCCUUUGAUUAAAUAUAAAACGAGAGAAGUCAUUAAUGUCUCCGAACUAAAGGGAAGAACUAAAGGCUCGGGUCCAGUCGGAGGGUGCUUUUUAAUUUAAUUUGUGGAGGAAGAAGACGAGCAAAGCGGCGCAAGAAAAGAAGACGACCCUUCCGAGUGAGGAAAAAACAACAAAGAGUCCGACUCAGAAUGAAUAACAACAAAAUAGAGAAGGAAAACGAGCAGAGUGAAUUCACCAACCACGAAGAGGAGGUCCGAACACUAUUCGUCAGUGGGCUACCGCUGGAUAUCAAACCACGGGAGCUAUAUCUCCUCUUCAGACCAUUUAAGGGUUACGAAGGAUCCUUGAUAAAGCUCACUUCUAAGCAGCCAGUGGGGUUUGUCAGCUUUGACAGCCGAUCAGAGGCAGAGGCUGCUAAGAAUGCCUUGAACGGUGUCCGUUUUGAUCCAGAGAUUCCCCAAACUCUGCGGCUGGAGUUCGCCAAGGCCAACACCAAGAUGGCUAAAAACAAGCUGGUCGGCACGCCCAACCCCCCUCCCUCCCAGCAGAGCCCCGGCCCUCAGUUCAUUAGCAGAGAUCCAUAUUCGUUGGCUCCCUCCUGCAGAUGGGACUCCUCAGGGAUGGAAGUCCAGACAGUUCUGCUGAAGUAUGUGUUCCUGAUGUGUGAUGGUGGCCGUGGCCGGCUGUGACGGGCUUUGCUGUUUGCCUCUUUUCCUUUUAGAAAUUAGGAGGAAUGACCUGCUUCCAGAUCCUGCAGCAGCGCACCGUCGGCAGCAGCAGCCUUAUGGGCUUCAGGACAUACUAGACCCCAGCCUCCAUCGCACAUCAAGCACCCAUCCCGAACCUCUUCCCGAAGUCUUUGCAACUCUAUUAGAUUUUUUUAUACUGUUACAUACUCGAGCUUUUAGAGGCAGCGCUUUGGCUACACCUCCUCUGACUCGUACGAUGGAAACGGUCCGCGUUUUCCGAUGGCGUCGCGUACGGAAAGACCACAGGAGUAGAUCCAUGGAAGUGUGGCCAAAGUGCUUUUGAGUAAUGUUGUUAUAAUACUAGAAUUAUUACUAUUCUGUAUAUCAUUCAUAUCAAUGUUAUUAUAAUAAAUACAUGUCGAAGCAUGACUUUGCAAAAAAAAUAAAUAAAUAAAAAAAAACAACAAUGCUGUACAUUUUUAGAUAUUUUAAAGAAGUACAAAAAAGUAUUUUUGUAAUCAAGACAAUGUUGAAAUGUUUUGAUCGGUUCAUGUUGUGUAUGAGAAAUUGUCAUACCUUGAUUUUUGCCUUUUUUUGGUGUUUUGUGCCAUUUAUAAAAUUACAAGUUGUCCUUCCAUACCAAAGCAGUCAUAUCAGUUUGCCUCUUUGUCUUUUCUACACAACAAUCUGUAGAUUUUGGUUUGCUAAUUUUUCCUUUUUUUUUUUUUUUUCAUUGAGCCAAGUUAAAUCAGAAGUCCCCAUUUUUUUUGCGCUGUAGGCUGUCAUAAUCAGAUGUGCCAGUGGAGGCAUCGACAGGAUUAAAGCCAUCGCCGGUGAAAGUAAAAAAGUGACCCCAGAGACGACAACGACUCGCAAACUCAACUCCACUAUUAUUAGAAAUCUGCUCCUUCAUUUUGUAGCAAGAGGACAACAGAUAAGUACAGAGAAACAAAAAGACCAAAGGCUUUUUUUCUUUUCUUACACUGGUGUGCUAUUUAGAAUUCAAUGUCUCACUGCUUUGUAGUCCUCGGUCUGAUAUUUCUUAUGAAGUAAGAUAUUAUUUUUGCUGCAUGUCCCUCUUGGUGUCACUCCAAAGAGUCCUUCAGCAUCUGAACGAAUUUUCACUUUAAACGAUUUGUCUCUUUUGUCUAUUUUUAGGAAGCCUGCGUGAUUCAACUAGCUUUUGUCGAGUUUGUAUUUGCAUAUUAAUGAUCGAGAUGAGUGGGGGGGGGGAAUAAUUUCUAAUCUGGUGUCUUUCUGCAAUAACAUAUGCUGUGCAACAUAUCAUGAACUGAUCAUGUUUCUGUGACAUUUUUAAUGACAAAAUUAUGAUCCUCGUCCCAUUUGUACAAAAAUCAAGCGCUUGUACUCGAUUCUGGUACUUUUCUGAUACAGAUGUGGCGCUAAAGAAAAAAAAAAAACACUGAAAUGCUGUAAGAAGUAAACAAUACUCCCUGUAAUCUUUAACCCAGAUAUUUAAGAUAAUCUAGGACGAGUUGAGUCAUGUACAUUUCUCAGUGUUUCUUCAUGUUGAAUAAUAAUAUGCGUCAUAUAACGGUGGACCAUAUCACCUGAGUACAUGAAGACCUUUUCUCUUUUUCUUGCUUUUACAAUUUUAAACCAAGUGUGGAGCCAAAUUUAUUAGAACAAGUAUUUAUAAAAAAAGUGUGAGUGUUUUUUUUUUUCUUUUAAAAGAUCAUAGAAGAUGCCUAUUGUAUGAUUCACUGUAAGUAUUAUUGUAAGUUCAAUUGUAUAAUCAUUUGCUUCUUUUGGUUUGUAGCUGUCUGAUUGGAACAGUCUGUGUUUGAUAUGUGAAUACUCCUGUAAUUCACUGUGAAAGUCGGAGAACAAAUAGAUCUUUUCAUGUUUUUCCAGCCUUAUGGUACAUAAAUUUCCUGGAGGUUGAUGAGAUGACCCCUCUGUUAAUGAAAGAUAUUUCUUUGCUUGGUUCAGUGUGUGUAACUGUGUGUUGUGCAUGUUCACGGCAUGUUUGUUCUUUUUCUUAAUGCUUACAGUGCUGUUGAUAUUUAUGUACUUUAGCCACUGUGAGGAGGAAUUUGACCUCAGUGAGUUGCAGAAAUUUGUUGGUUUGAAACACACACACAAAAAAAGGUGAUCUAAUGGAGCCGUUUUUAUGAAUAUGUUAAAUGAAGACAUUUGGGUAAAUCUGCCAUUAAAGAUUGAGAUUAAAGCUGC
Xiphophorus hellerii (green swordtail) is the source of this 3115-nucleotide RNA transcript. It is a transcript of the gene named RNA-binding protein with multiple splicing, with no coding region annotated. The record is from RefSeq and is a predicted model, not a curated record. The transcript is spliced from 8 exons. Lineage: Eukaryota; Metazoa; Chordata; Actinopteri; Cyprinodontiformes; Poeciliidae.